UACGUAGGGUGCAAGCGUUUGUCCGGAAUUAUUUGGGCGUAAAGAGCUCGUAGGCGGUUUUGUCGCGUCUGCCGUGAAAGUCCGGGGCUCAACUCCGGAUCUGCGGUGGGUACGGGCAGACUAGAGUGAUGUAGGGGAGACUGGAAUUCCUGGUGUAGCGGUGAAAUGCGCAGAUAUCAGGAGGAACACCGGUGGCGAAGGCGGUUCUCUGGGCAUGUUCUGACGUGAGGAGCGAAAAGUGUGGGGGAGCGAAACAGG
Molecule: ribosomal RNA, 258 nt
Filed under: uncultured bacterium
Lineage: Bacteria
Description: partial 16S ribosomal RNA
Rfam family: Bacterial small subunit ribosomal RNA
Source: RNAcentral